This 327-nucleotide ribosomal RNA is filed under the name uncultured eukaryote. RNAcentral's name for it is "partial 18S ribosomal RNA". It matches the Rfam family "Eukaryotic small subunit ribosomal RNA", at positions 1470 to 1796 of the family's 1831-position model. The record is from RNAcentral.
CCCUUAGAUGUUCUGGGCUGCACGCGCGCUACACUGAAGCGUUCAACGAGUAUUCACCUUGCCCGGGAGGGUUGGGUAAUCUUUUGAAAACGCUUCGUGAUGGGGAUAGAUUAUUGCAAUUAUUAAUCUUCAACGAGGAAUUCCUAGUAAGCGCGAGUCAUCAGCUUGCGUCGAUUACGUCCCUGCCCUUUGUACACACCGCCCGUCGCUCCUACCGAUUGGGUGUGCUGGUGAAAUGUUCGGAUCGGCCGUUUGUCGCGGUUUCCGCGUCAUGUGGCUGAGAAGUUCAUUAAACCCUCCCACCUAGAGGAAGGAGAAGUCGUAACA